UAGGGGACCUUAGAGGGCAACCCUCCACACUGGAACUGAGACAAGGACCAGACUUCUACGGAAGGCAGCAGUGAGGAAUAUUGGUCAAUGGAGGAAACUCUGAACCAGCUAUGCCGCGUGUAGGAUGACAGUCUUUUAGAUUGUAAACUACUUUUACAUAGAAAUAAAAGUUACUACGGGAUGGUAACCUGAAGGUACUAUGAGAAUAAGUGUCGGCUAAUUUCGUGCCAGCAGCCGCGGUAAAACGAAAGACACAAGCGUUAUCCGGAUUUAUUGGGUUUAAAGGGUGUGUAGGUUGUUUAUUAAGUCAGUAGUGAAAGCUUACAGCUUAACUGUAAAAUUGCUAUUGAUACUGAUAAUCUUGAGUCAGAUUGGAGCGUCUGGAAUGUAUGGUGUAGCGGUGAAAUGCAUAGAUAUCAUACAGAACACCAAUAGCGAAGGCAGGAUGCUAAAUCUUCACUGACACUGAGGCACGAAAGCGUGGGUAGCAAACAGGAUUAGAUACCCUGGUAGUCCACGCCCUAAACUAUGAUCACUAGCUAUUGGAAAAAUUAUAUUCAGUGGCCAAGCUAAAGCGAUAAGUGAUCCACCUGGGAAGUACGAUCGCAAGAUUGAAACUCAAAGGAAUUGACGGGGUUUCGCACAAGCGGUGGAGCAUGUGGUUUAAUUCGAUGAUACGCGAGGAACCUUACCAAGGUUUAAAUGUAUUACGAAUAAGCUGGAAACAACUUAGUCUAUAAGACGUAAUACAAGGUGCUGCAUGGUUGUCUUCAGUUCGUGCUGUGAAGUGUUUGGUUAAGUCCUAUAACGAGCGCAACCCUUAUUGUUAGUUGCCAUCGGGUAAAGCCGGGGACUCUAACAAAACUGCCGGUGUAAAUCGAGAGGAAGGUGGGGAUAAUGUCAAAUCAUCAUGGCCUUUAUGCCUUGGGCUACACACGUGCUACAA
RNAcentral lists this ribosomal RNA (946 nucleotides) under Candidatus Uzinura diaspidicola. Its description in RNAcentral is "bacterial SSU rRNA". It matches the Rfam family "Bacterial small subunit ribosomal RNA", at positions 284 to 1230 of the family's 1533-position model. Lineage: Bacteria; Pseudomonadati; Bacteroidota; Flavobacteriia; Flavobacteriales. The record is from RNAcentral.